AGAUGAUGAGCUCAGUCAGAUGUGGACAUGGUGUGGAGUUAGAGAGAAGUUCCUCAGCUGGAGAAGGUCUGACACCUGUUGUGUAUCUAACCUUCAGCAGUGUCACCCAAAGAGAGAAAGCACCUAUGUUGGUCCUUCCUGCGGUACAUCUCACAUCAGAGAAGGAGAUAUGAACAAUCUCCAUUUAACUGCAAAGUUCCAGAGCUAGGAGAGAAGUCAGAGGUCACAUCAAUCCAGAUGUUGUGAACUGGUGGCUAGAUGGGUCUGCAUAAUGGACAGAUCUUUUCUUACCUGCCCUGUUUGACUCUUUUUUAGCUUGCAUAUUCUUUCAUUGUCAAUAUUGAACCAUCAGGUGGUUUCAAAUAAAAUAAAGUUUGAGAAUUUUAUUGAAAAAUCAGAAUCUCUGGCAACUUCAGAAUCUGUUCCUUCUUGGGAACAAUGGAGAGACAGUGGCCCCCUUUUACUCUCUGGAGGGUGACGUCCUCUGGCUGCUUCAUUUAUUUAUAAUGCAUCCAGAUGCUGUAGGCACCUGGGUCUGUGUUUCAUGUCUAAAUUUAAUCCUCCCCAAUUUCCUAUAUAAAGAAAGAGGAAAAAUGGAUGAUGAAGUGACUUCCAAGACCCCAGGGACAAAGAGGCAGAGUUCUCUCGAGACCUGGGUCUCUUCCACCAGGCCAACAUGGUUGUUCUUGUUUCUAAGCCCCAUCUUUAAAACUUUCAGCUGAAUGUCCUCUAGAACUGGAUUUUCACUCCUAAAGUUGUCCCCAGAAAAUGGGGGCACUCAAGUCUCUGGCUUCUGUGUUUUCCCCCCAAAAUAUUAUUUUUUCCCAUGCUUUCAGAGAGGAAUGCUACAAGUUUGUUACCAUUAGAUCUGUUCUGUGAGAAAUGCUAAUGGGAGUCUGUCCUUCCGGUCAAGAUGUAAAGAAGCUAAAAAGUCAUUUGAAGGUGUAUGAAGAAAUGCAGAUCUUCAGUAAAGGUAAAUAUAUGGGCAAUUUCGAGGCUGGUGUUACUGCAAUUUUGUUUUGUAAAUAUACUUUUUAUUUUCUACAUGAUUUAAAAAAGUAGUUGUAAUUUAUCAUGGAAAAGGUUGGGGACCAGAGAAAAACCAGGAGAAGAAAACCAAUCUCUCAUAAUUCUAUCAUCCAGAGAAAGCGGCUGGCCAAAACUUACGGGUCAUUUUCACAUCUGAUUGGGAGCUUAUUCUUUGAACUCUUCAGUCCCUGUCUACAUACGGAAAAAUAGUCCUCACUACAUGGGGACUAUUUUUCCAUAUCACUAAAUGUUCCCAAGUGCUGUUAAGGCUUCUGUAGCUGAGCAGCUGAUUGGCUUGUGUGGGGUGCUAUCCGCUGUAUUGGAAGGAUGGGCCCAUCACGGGCAGUACUGUGACCCUGUUCUCUCCCUCUCCCAUUCUAUAGCACCUGCCCCCAUAUCUCAUUUUAAAAGUUCUAUAUGGUGCUUUGACACCUUUAAGUCUCCAGGGCUUCAAAGACCUACCUGUGAAUUCUCUUGUUCUCAUCUAACACCCUCCCCAACCCCGCCAGAGGAAAGGCUCCCUGCCCACUGAGUUCCCCUAACUGCUGGGCCAAUUGCCUCUCACUUUGUCCUCAGCCUAAUACAUUUCACCCAGCUGCCAGGCAUGACAUUAUUCAAACAUGCCAGUCAUCUUCCUACAGACCAGGGCACCUCACCCCUGGUUACUACAAAGCUUGCCCCCCACAGUCCCGGAACACAAUUCCUAUGUGAACCUGCAUGGUAUAUAUGGUAAAGGUAAAUAUAUGGGUAUAUAUAACCAGCCCAUGUCCCCUGCCCUGGGCUAUGACUGUACACAAUUAAUAAAUUGCUGUUGAUCUCAUCUGUCCAGUCUUGGUGACCUGUGUUUGGCUAUCCCUGGAAUCUUAGGGUAGGAAUCUCUCCAGCAAAAAGGUAAAGAGAAGGUGGACAAGACCAUCACUCUGCUCUUGGUACUAGUAAUACAAGGCUUUCGACGAGGGGUGAAAGUUUAUUCCUUCUAAGGAGAAGCUUUUAAGAAGUUCACAUUUUCAUUCUUGUUGUUCAGGGGUGCUAUAUUUUUAUAGAGAUCAAUACUGAUUAAAGUCAGAGAGCUAAGGAUUCUAGUAGGGCCUUGGAGGGGAGGAGUAGAGAAAUCUCAACCCAGGGGUUUCAUGUGCUUCCUGAAUCUACUCAUUGACUGGCACUUGGUGUUUUCUUCAGUCAGACUGUGUUCAGGAGUUGGGUGGUCUAUUUCUGACACUGAAUGAUUUGGGGCAAAGGACCUCAUAUUUUUGGACCUCAUCUUCCUAUUCCUGAAAUGGCAAACCUAAGGCUUGCUUGAUGCCCAGGGUGCUGCAUCUCUUGCAUCCUUUUCCCUUUCUCUUGUUUCCGUGGUAUCUUUCCCCUGCCUCAUUCAGUAAAUAUUUGAAGAGCACUCACAGUGUGUCAAGGACUGUUCUAGGUGCUUUGCUUUAGUUGAAGUGUGUACCGAGGAAGUUUAAAAAAUGCAAUCAAAUGCUUACCUUUCAAUAAAAGGAAAGUAACCUCUGUGUUGGAAAGAGCAUUGUGUUGGACUUCAGACACACCUGGGUUUCCGGUCCUGAUGAUACUCAGAACGUAAGCAGCACUCUGGGCACAUGAAGCAGUGAGUCAGGCAGAGAGAAAACAUCCUUGGUUCUCAUCUGCACACUGGUCCACCUGCUUAGUACCUACAGACAUCUUCUUUGUGCUGCGUGGACCUUCAGACCGCUAUGCCUGCACUAGGCACACAAUUGCAUUUGUUCCACCAGGCUGCAAAUCCAGACACUGGAGCCCAGCACUUUUGUUUAUAAUUCCAGCAUGUGACACUUAGUAGGCACUUUUGAAUGUCUUUUGAAAGCCCCUGGUGCAGUUGCUGCGAUUUUCACAACUAGAACAUAGGAAUGAAUGUGUCCAAAUCCAAGCCACCGACCAAGGCACUCUCCUUGGCAAGACAGUGGGGCCAACACUUCUCCAAGUCGAACUUGGUCUUUGCUUUGCAUUUAGAUCAUUCUUGAACCACCUUCCAAAACCUAAUUUUUCUUUUGUUGUUAUGUCAAAUUUUCUGCUCAAAUGAUAUUUACCACCUUCGUUAGUCAUAAAUUUUAAUACUAAAGAUGUCAUAAUUCUCUGAACCUGUAAAAAUGCUUCUUUAGACAUUGAAUUAUUAUUAUUAUCUGGCCAAAUAGCCAUGGCUAAACCCUCUCUCAAGGAUAAAAAAUUGCCACUAUUAAGAAUAAUCCAAAAGAAUAUUCAAAAGGCAAUGGGAGAAACUCCUAAAGAUGUAUCAAUCUCUUUUGAACAAUGAGGAUGUCAUUGGAAAAGGAAAGUGAUUUGAGCAAUUCUUUUUUUUUUUUUUUAAUGAACAAAAAAAUAAAUCAGUCUCGUUGCUUGAGUUACCCUAUGCCUCAGGGAACAGGGAAAGGAAGGAGAGGGCCAGAGAAUUUAACAACACAGUGUUUAGAGACAGGGAUCCAAGAUGGCUUACAUGACAACUAUUGUCUCACAUUAUCUGAUUCUUAAUUUCUUCCACUUAUCGUUAGGAAGACAAACAGCCCUUUGAGGGGUCUUGGUUUGGCCCCCAUGCGAAUGAUGUGUGAUACAAAUACCUUCUUCCACUGGACUUUCCCCAGGAGUGGUAGGUGUAGUCACAUGGGCAAAGGUGUGUGCAUCCCUGGACCAGGGCCAUGGUGACUGCAAAGUGGGCCCAGGGAUGGAGGAGAUGAGCUAGCUGAGGUGAGGGACUAUAGAGAAGCAGGAGCAGCCUUAGAAAGGCACCUAGCGCCGGGGGAGAAGGUACUUCCUUGGGUAGGUCUCAGGAAGGAGGAAACAGCGAUUCCUCGGGUUUUGACAGGGAGGGAUCCCUGGGAACGUGUGGAUGGAGCAGAAUGCACAGGGAAGAGGGCCGUGUCCAGCAGAAGGAGUGGACUCAACCCAACACAUACACAACCAAGAGCUGGUUUGUGGACAGUCUACUUACCCCACUUCUCACGUUUCCUUCCAGGUUGGAAAGAGCAUCGUGGGUUCUCAUUAGGUGCUUCUCAUCUUCUGUGCAGCCAGCCCUGGGAUGUCAUAGGCUCCUUUGCCCCUCAGUUUCACCUCUAAUAGAAAAGGGAGGAUCACACGACUGGCCUGCCUCACUGGGUUGCCCUGGCGAUGGAAUGCUGUAUUCUGUGUGGAAAAAAAAAAUCAUUCAUUCGUUCGUUUGUUCAUCCAAACAUCCAUUUAUUUAUUCCUUUGGGCUUCCGUCUAGAGCAGAGGAGGAAAGGCAUGGAUAUGGGAUUUCGAUCACAUCAAGAGCUGUGACUGGCUUAUAAAGAGAGAGAACUGGAGAAUAAUGACUGGAGACACGGGAGCUUUGGCUUUGGAAAUGUUCCCUUGGUCCCUGCACUACUGGUAAUUGUGCCUUUUCUCUCUUUUCAUUAAUGGCUAAAAGGAUGAAAUCUCGAUACUGACAGAGCAGCGUCUCUUACAGACAAGUCAGUGGAGGGAAGAGUCCGCACAGAGCCACCCCUGGGUCUGCAAGGCCAGGCUGUCCUGAGCACCCCCUCACCUGUCAUAUGGCUUGCCCAACUGCCCUUUCCUCUUUUGCAAACACAACACUGAUCAAACACAGGGGGUUCUUGACUUGUCACGUCUCUGGGCAAAAUGGAAGCACAAAGGGAUCUGAAGGGUGGACAUGCUUUGCCUCCGUGCUGGGUCAUCCCUGGCAGGAUGUGUCCAGUAAUACUCCUGGGAGUGAGCUGCUUCUUUCAGGAAGAUCCUAGAAUGAAGUCUCCAGCUGGCCUCUGGGUUGACAUUGGUCAAAUGGCCUAGUGGCUUUGCCUGAGUUCACGCCCCUCCACUUUUUACCUGGGUUCUUGGGGCAGGACAGUUGCUAGGAGCCGUGACAGGAAGAUUAGGAAGAGGUGAAAGGUGAGGUUGGGAGUAGUGUUUACUCUCCCACGGUCCCUGCACGACCCAGGAUGAAUGCGGAGACGGCAGAUAAGGUUAAUCAGAGCAACAGGCUGCUUGCUUCACAGGGACAAGGCUACAAUAGUAUGAAACCCUAAGAAUGGUUUUGAUAAAGAGAGAAAUCAUAUGUUGGUUUUCACUGUUAAUUCCUUCAGAAAAUCAGGCCUUUGCAGGAGAUGGCUUGAUAUUGUCUGUAAACACAAUUAGUCUGGGGUCCCCGCCACAUGGUAGUAAAGAUGCCUUCAAAAAAAAAAAAAAAAAAAAACAGGAGGAAGAUUAAAUGAUUACAUUAGUAGAGCAAAUAUAUGUCUGAUAAAGUUUUAUGAGCUCUCCUUCCAAGAAAGGGGCUCCACAAAAGCAAUAUUUUAUUAUCCUUGUUCCAAGGCUCAGGGAAAUGCAGCCUCCCUUAUUUACCUUGGUGGUUUGUGACCAUAUUCUAUUCGUAGAACAUAUAUAAAUUAAUAUAUCUAUUAAUGACUUAUCUCCUUUUUAAUUAUUAUUUUUCAAGAAAAUUCAGACCAAGCAUCAAAUCCUUGUUAUUAACAUCAUUCAAUGCUGAAUCUUUAAAUAUGUUCUUUUACACUGUGUAUCCUUCUCUACUAGGAAAUAGCUCAAAUUUUCUCUUGUCAAAUAGCAAAACUAUAUCAUAGAAAAGUAGACAUUAAAAUAUGGAUGUAAUGUGAUCUCCUGCUCAGAUUGUGAGAUUUCCUUGAGGAAAAGGAAUUUAAGAGGUGGUUUAAAAAGGAAUUUAAAAGGAUUUUAAGAGGUGGUUCACUGACUCAGGGACCAGAAGUAGAGUUGAUAGGUGGGCACCACUGUUACCUUUUCCAUAAGCACAACCCUUAAGUAAAAUGAGAACUUCUGACCCAGAUGUCCUAGGUAUUAGACCUCACAGCUAGGGGUUGAGGCAGGCAGGUAGUUGGUGUAGGUAACGUCACAUUGUUCUCUCUAUAAAGCUUAAUCAGUGCAAUCAAACUAACUUUAUCAGGUACCUUCUCCACUGGAGGGGAACCAAGUUAUGGGAGUCACAUGUUAGUGCUAAUCACUACUGGUCUCUCUGUCAAUUGGGGAAAAACAUCCCAAAGGAAAUGUCUUUGUUGUGUUCCAUUUUGCUGAAUGACAAAAAGACAGAAUCUAGAAGGUUAGGGAGGGGAUGUUCUAGGUCUUCUAGACUUUUGUCCUAAUAAUUGGGAGGGAAAUAUAAUGGCUAGAAUGCCAUUGUUCUUCAUUUCUAAAAGGUAUACACACACACACACACACACAUACACAAGCCCAAAUGCUUGUUACACUGAGUCAUCAUGGAAACUCUGCUUAAUUAUAUUAAUUACCUAUUGAUUUAUGACAAAUGACCCCAAAACUGAAUGGCUUAAAGCAACAAUUAACAUUUAUUAUCUCACACAGUUUUUUUGGGUCAGGAGCUCAGGAGUGGCUUAGCUGGGUAGUUCCAGCUCACAGACUCUCAUUGGGUCAGAUGAUAACAGCUGGCACAGCAGUCAUCUGAAGACAGGACUAGAGCUGGAGAAUCUGAUUCCAAGAUGACAAACUUUCGUGACUGUGGACUGGGUGAGGCAUCCCAGGUCUUUACCACGUGGGCCCCACAGGGCUGCUUGAGUUCCUCAUGGCAUGGUGGCCAGCUCCUCCCAGAGUUAAUGAUCCAAGAGAAAGCAGGUAGAAGUUGAAAUGCCUUUUAUGACCUAGCCUCAGAAGUCACACUCUAUCAUCUACCAUACCCAUUGGUCAUGUAGGUCAGCCUUACCUGGGAAAGGACUACACAAAAAUAGGAAUACCAAGAGGGGAGAAUCACUGGAGACCAUCUUGGAGGCCGGCUACCAUAUUAACUUCUCUGAAUUUUCUAUGCACUGUAGCAAUAUUUUUCCAAAUGUUAUUCUGUGGUUUUCCAAAAGAUGUUAAUAGACAUUUGGCAAAACCCACUAUGUACUUUUACAUCACCCUUACCACAUACAUUGUUUACCACCACUACUAACAACACUCUUCUGUGGUCCGAAAAAAAAGGGCAAACUACACUCAGAGAGUCAUAAUUCACUUUGCAUCAUACCAGCUCUGAAGUGCACUCCUGUAAGAUGUCUUUAAAUUUGAUCCAGCAUUUCUCAAACCCCUUUGACCUUGAGUUCACUUUUAAGAAAUAUAUGGUAGUGGCUUCUAAAAUGUGAUAAUCAGAAAGAUACCAUUUGAGAAACACCUUUCUGGAAUUGUUCUACAUUAGACUCACCUGACUUCAAAUUUUCCAAGAAGGUUUCUGUGGCUCUAUGGCAUUUGUGAAGAUUCGAGCAGGGUGAGAGGAGAUCUGCCUCUGAAACCCCUGUUUUUGCCCAUUGAUGAUUCAGUCUCAGUAUGAAUCCUUCCUUGGUUCCAACAACCAUAAGACUCCAGGAAAAGACUUCAUAAAAAAAAUGGGGAAUCAUCCUACCAGCCAUUUUAUACCAGGAGUGUUUUCAUCUUGGUUGUUACAUUAAGAUGUAUUUGUUCUUAAUAAAGAAAAGAGAACAUGAUGUUACCAA
Molecule: long non-coding RNA, 7478 nt
Filed under: Marmota monax (woodchuck)
Lineage: Eukaryota; Metazoa; Chordata; Mammalia; Rodentia; Sciuridae
Source: RNAcentral